CCAUUGGUCUGUUGGGGUCCGGGUCGGCAUGGAGGUGACGUGGAAGGUUGGGUGGGUGCCGUCGAAGGUACCGCUCCCUGCUUGGGAGGCGGCGGCGGCACCUGCAGCGGCUGCCGCUGAGUGGGAGGAGGUCGGGUUGGGAGUGCGCGGAUGCCCUUCGUGAGCGGCGGGAGAGGCUCCGCAAGCUCAGGCCGCUGUGGCGGAGGAGGCUGCGUCGGCGACGGCGGCAGCGGCUCUAGGAGUCGGGCAGGCUACGGCUGCGCAGGCGGCGCGAGAGGCUCGUCUACGAGGCGCUCCAGGUGCGCAAGGAGAGCGCGGGCAGGAGCUUAGUCUACCGGUAACUGCGCGACAGAGAUCUCGAAGGGUUCGGUCACCGCUUCGACCCACGAGCCUACCCCUUAACGGCCCUGUAACGGUCUCGUUAGUAACUCAAGAAACGUAGCUUAACGUCGGGUUCCCUGUACGAGACGUAGGAGACGCUCCGUAAUCUAUGUGGUCACCGUAAAUUACCUAGUCGUAUGGAACAAUAAGAUGAUCUACCCGAACGGUCGUGCGAAUGAAACUAAGUCUCCUCUGUAUAACUCGUUCAUUUCCAGCAUGAAGGACGGUAGGAAGCUCAAUACGUACGAUUAAAUAGUCUUAUACUACCCCUUGUAUCUUACUCAUGACAACUAGACAAGUCACGUCGGGAGGCAUAACCGUUACGAUAUGUUCUUUACACGUUUUGUUACCAUUUGGUGUCCUUCCUUCUCAAUACAAGAUAUGAACCAGAUAUGCGGGAAGUUUUGUAUCGAGAAAACGUCCGAGAACAUAGUAGUCUUUCGUUUGUAGUCUUAUAAGAUAGAUGAACACCAAGUCAACAAGAAGUUAUAAGAUUUAAAGAAUACAAAACGCCGAAGUGGAUAAACCCAGAAAAUUGACCAUUACUACACUGGAGUUGGUGGUGAUUCGAAAGAUUUCUUCUCCUGCUGUUAAAAGACCUGACGAAAAGAAGACGAUACCUGCCACGUUCAGAACAUCAACACACCUGUAGAUACGUGCUACUGUACAGUUUUAUACGACCUCGUCUCAAACUUAGUCGAGACUUUCUUCAAGUUCUGUUAACAUAAUCCUUUACCCUUCGUUAAUUGUACAAAUCUAUGCAGAACAGAAGUCAAUUAAUGAGUACCCGUUAGUUUAGAGUGUCAGACCUGAAUAACAACUGAGAUCAACUACUAUUCACAUCACUCCUUUGGUUGCUAGUACAUCUAAAGGGCAUAAGGUGAGUUUAAAAACGGUGUGAGUUCCGGUAACUUUCUCAGUACUAUCGACGGGGUCUAUGUAACUACGCCUUCUUUCGGAAAAGACGGGACUUUUCCCAAUAAAGUCGCCACGGUAGGUGAGUCUCUAAACUAUAGAAUGUCCGGGAGUAGCUCUUAUCAUACAAGGGGAGGAACUGACGUUAAGAAAAUCUAGACCACUUCUUACUUCAAAGCUCUCUCUCGGCAGCUCGACUAGUCCAAUUACCUAGACUAGCUAGUGUUCUACGACCCCUUAGUGGUGGAACCCGAAGAGUCCACGAACUCAAUCACCUCGACUAGAACUCCGGAGGUCUUCCACCAGGAGGAACAGAAGCACUAGUGUCACUUCUCCAUAAUAGACGAGACUUGAACGAGUCUAACUAAGACUAUUAUCUAAGUUCUCCUAGGUCUAGUCGGUUUUACAACGCCCUACUUUUUUAUGCUCGGCACAUGAGUCUCACCGACUAGGGUGAUUCUAAUUAAUAAUGUCCCUAAGUUAGCCUUGAGCUCUUUCCGCCGCCACUCCUACUUUUAGUCUACAACACGAACAAUUUAGGACAAGUUAAGCAUGAAGUGGCGACGUAACUCGACCACCUCCUUUUUUUUACUUCCCAAACAUUACGAGCUCGUCACAACGGAACCGGUCCUUUACACUUUAAAGUGAGUAGUCAUAAGACUUAGGUAAAGGAGGUAAUAAAUACGGCAUAUCUGUAGGAGACGACGCUCAUAUACAUUUAGGAGUUACUUUACAACCUGAUAUACACCAACAAAGUAGGGUCAGUGACACAUACCCGGAGCACGUCAUCUUUUAUAGUGAUAAGAGAAAAAAAUCACGUUUAUAGUGAUAAAAGCUACG
RNAcentral lists this ribosomal RNA (2136 nucleotides) under Triticum aestivum (bread wheat). Its description in RNAcentral is "partial small subunit ribosomal RNA". Lineage: Eukaryota; Viridiplantae; Streptophyta; Magnoliopsida; Poales; Poaceae. The record is from RNAcentral.